GACGAACGCUGGCGGCGUGCUUAACACAUGCAAGUCGAACGGAAAGGCCCCCUUGUGGGGUACUCGAGUGGCGAACGGGUGAGUAACACGUGAGUAACCUACCCUUGACUUUGGGAUAACUUCAGGAAACUGGGGCUAAUACCGGAUAGGAGCUCCUGCUGCAUGGUGGGGGUUGGAAAGUUUCGGCGGUUGGGGAUGGACUCGCGGCUUAUCAGCUUGUAGGUGGGGUAGUGGCUCACCAAGGCUUUGACGGGUAGCCGGCCUGAGAGGGUGACCGGCCACAUUGGGACUGAGAUACGGCCCAGACUCCUACGGGAGGCAGCAGUGGGGAAUAUUGCACAAUGGGCGGAAGCCUGAUGCAGCAACGCCGCGUGCGGGAUGACGGCCUUCGGGUUGUAAACCGCUUUCGCCUGUGACGAAGCGUGAGUGACGGUAAUGGGUAAAGAAGCACCGGCUAACUACCUG
RNAcentral lists this ribosomal RNA (465 nucleotides) under uncultured bacterium. RNAcentral describes it as "partial 16S ribosomal RNA". It matches the Rfam family "Bacterial small subunit ribosomal RNA", at positions 28 to 507 of the family's 1533-position model. The record is from RNAcentral.